UUGCUGUGGGAAAAAAGCAAAGGUUAGCAUCUCCCUUGUUAAGAAUGAAAGAGGCCUUCAGGCCUAUUUUCAUAGCACCUACCAUGUUUUUUU
Callithrix jacchus (white-tufted-ear marmoset) is the source of this 93-nucleotide small nuclear RNA. The record is from Ensembl. NCBI's taxonomy places the organism in Eukaryota, Metazoa, Chordata, Mammalia, Primates, Cebidae.